AAUACUCAACAGAAACUGCUCUGCACUGGCCCCACAUUAGGGGGUUCCUAUCUACGGUUUCUAAAUGUGAGCCCCUUGACACCUGCUGUGGCAGACACAACCAUCCCCAUGGAGGCGCUGAGAACAAUGAAGCACAGACAGGCCAGGGUCACCCAAAGCCGUGAUGACAGCCCGCUUUUCUCUGGUGGUUCUACUCAACCGCUCCACUGAGGUGAUGGGAGAGGUGAGGGGCCCAGGAGGAAGGUGGAGCUCAAAGGCACUGUCUUCAUAGUCCACAGGUCUCAAACUCCAGCAUCUCAGAAUGAAAGGAUUCACAAGUGCUCACAAGAGGCUUGGCUGCCAGGGGAAGCUCCGACCUGAAGAUUUGAACUAAUGAGGGACUAUAAAGGCCAAGACCUUGUUCUUGCCAUUUUAGAGAUUCAGAAUAUAAUCUACAAAGUUAGAGAUUAUAAUUGGCCUCCACUGUGUGAUUUGAUUCCAAGCUACCCAUGAAGAAACCCAGACUCAGAGGUCACUUGCCUAGGGUCACACAGUGACCUGAGAUGGGAACCACAGGUCGCCACAUAGACUUGGUCAUCAGGAGUGGGCCUGGUGAGGCCAAAGAAGGAGAUUUCAUCUGUCAAGGGAGGCUGGAACCCAUGGCCAUGACCUACCCCAAGGAGGUGGCCCAGGGCCACAGAGAAGCCUAUGGAGAGAGCAGGGGUGCCCGGGUUCUCUCCGCGGCGCUCAUCGGUGGAGGCGAAGAUGCAGAGCACCAGCUGCAGUGUCAGGAAGAGCUCCACAGUCACCGCCUGGCCAGCCGUCGUGCUGUUGCUGAGCUGGGGACAGAGAAGAGGCGGAUGAGGAAGGGCCACUUGUGCAGAGAAGGGGGCGCCCACAGAGAUUGUGCGGGACUCAUCAAAGACAUCAGGACUCUUGUCCAGUGGCUCAAGGAUGGAAAAGGCCGGGAACUACCGGAAACAAGCACAAAAGAGGCACUCACUGUCCUGGCUUAGGAUGGGGGUACAGAGGCUGUGGUGUGUCCGUGCCUGGCCUGUAAGGAGCACCUGCCACGGGACCUGCAAACCCUCAAAGCAGAAGAAAUGCUGGGCCCCUCUUCUCUCUUGAGAACCCUGUGAUGAUCACUCCAAGGCUCCCCGCAGCUUGGAAAGCAUGUCUGCUCGGGACACCAACCCCUGCUGAGGUAUAGCCCUGUCUUCACUGUAAUGUAGGCGUUGAGUCCAACAGAAACCUGGAUGAGGCUCUUCCUGCACGACGGUCAGGGUGGAAGAAGCCAGCAGUCUGUCUGCAUCCUGCUUUGCUCUGGUAUCAUUGCUCCUUUCAUCCUGACCCUCCUAUGGUGGCUGUGUUCCUGGCUCCAGCCUCUCUCUCUGCCUCUGUCUCCAUCUCUCUCCCUACAUCACCCAGAGCCCAUCCCUCCCAUCUCAUCCUUUACAAGGGAUUCCCCAGGACCUGCCCCUUGUGGAUGGCAAAGUUGUGGCUACUCACAGCAUUGACAGCCAGGUCCCCGCGGAUGUCUGCUGGCGUGAUCUCAUGGAGCAGAGCGGCUCCGGCCAC
Molecule: long non-coding RNA, 1557 nt
Filed under: Homo sapiens (human)
Lineage: Eukaryota; Metazoa; Chordata; Mammalia; Primates; Hominidae
Description: non-protein coding lnc-RACGAP1-1:8
Source: RNAcentral